Malaya genurostris is the source of this 3390-nucleotide RNA transcript. RefSeq lists it as uncharacterized. The transcript has 8 exons. The record is from RefSeq and is a predicted model, not a curated record. NCBI's taxonomy places the organism in Eukaryota, Metazoa, Arthropoda, Insecta, Diptera, Culicidae.
GCGGAAACAACAACCCCAUCGCAGUACUACUACUGGUCGGCGUUGAUCCGCACGCAUGCGCCCGAUUCAUGCUUGAAUUCUCACCUCGGAGCAAAUUGUGUUCCCACUGUAUCACACACAGAAACAAUUUGCCAGUCUGGGAGCGUUGUCACUAUUCCACCGUUCCAAUCGCAAACUUUAACGCAGCUGACAAAGUUCUCGGUCGCAUCGGAAUCGGUUUCAGUCCUUAGCUCGACUCGGUUAGUGGUGAGAGUGUGGAGCCGUGGAAAAGUAUUGCUUAAUUUUUGGGGGAGCAACACCCCCAUAGAAUCGGAUCCGCCAUACUUUGGAUGUGCUGAAAAAUAGUUCAUAACCGUACGGUUCCACUUCACCGUGCGAUAGUAAUUUAACCUUCACCUCGCCACCACUGACUGCAACAUCAUCAUCCAAGUGCUAGCAAUUGCAAUUUAUACUAGCUGUGAGUUUCAUCCAAGAAAAUAAAGUAGAACGUUAAAUAACGUUUCGCUAGCUCACGACAGGAAAAAACCUCAUUUCCGUUCCAUUAGUCCGGGCACUGGUUCGACGAAAGCCAUGGAGUACCAACAGGAAAAAUCUGACGACAUUCGAGGACAGUAGGCUCGUCAGCGGAGAACCCGCAACUAUCAAACCCAGAGAAACAGAACGGAGAAAUCCGAUCUGUAGCCAACACAAAAAAAAAAAAACAUGUCGUCACCGCCGGAACAGGAAAGUAACAUACCUGUCGAUCCUAGAGUGCAGAUCGAACUCGAGAAGCUGAAUGAAGCCACGGACUACAUCAACAAGUAUGAAGUGGAACUGGAUGAAGCCCGAAAUGAGUUCCGAGAGAUACUCAAAGAGAGCAUGGAAAAGAUCAAAGCGGUCGCGAAGAAACUGGGCAACUCGAUCGAAACCGCCAAACCGUACUAUGAAGCCAGGCUGUACGCUGCACAGUUGACCAAGGAAACGCAACAAUCCGUGCUGAACUUCGACAAGGCGAAAUCGGUGCAUGCGGCGGCCAAGGAAAUGGUAUUCCUAGCCGAACAAGGUCUCGGCGAGAAGUCAACGCUGGAUACGGCCUGCCAGGAGAUGCUCAGUCAUGCGACCACCCGCGUCAACGAGUCCCAGAAUGAGUGCACGGAGAUGCGGAAUGUGCUGCGGAUCAGUGAACUGAAGCUGGAAGUUGCGAACAACCGAGUUACUAAACUGCACUCGCAGUUCAAGGGAGCGAUCCGGGCGUCUAGUAUGGCUGUUCGCAGAAACCUGUUACUGAUGAAUUUGCUAGUUUAUCAAAAUGAGUUAUUGUUUUUACCAUACUACGAGUUGCGAGCUAACUACAAUGCUCUGCUGCUAGAGCACAAACAGAAGGUGCUGGACCUGGAGGCCAAGGUUUCGGAAGCCAAAAUGACCUACAAUGAGGCACUAACCAAUCUGGAGAGGAUUUCGGAGGAAAUCCAUCAACAGCGCAAGAUUCGUACCAACAGCAUCGACGAGGACGCUUCCUCCUCUUCGUCGUCGACCAAUCAGCUACGGAGCACGACCACGUUGCCGGGACAGAUGCAGCUGUACAGCAAAUCUCCACCUGCUGCGAGGAUCGAGUGCAAUGAUGAAUAUCUGGAGUUUCCUGCCAAGCUGGGCCUGAAAUCUAGUCCACUCAAGCAAAAGUAUCUGGACAAACUGGACUGUCCUCAUUUGUUGCGGGAUUUCGUCCGGAAGACCAGUCCCAGUGCGGAAAGUGACUCCGAUAACAACUAUCUUUUCUCACCGAAUCGGACGAUCGAUGACAUCACCAACAUGUCCUCGGAAGACAUUGAACAAUGGACGGAGAUUCGAUUGUCGCACUCGAACAGCACAAGUUCGGAGUAUUCGCAGCGAAACUCGCCACUGGAUGAUGAUGGUGGCAAUAUACUACCGGAGGUGGUUUCCGAUUCAACCGAAACGGACACCGACGACACUAACUCGGGACCAAGAGUCAAAGCACGCAUCAUCAAGAUGGAAAUCUACGAUGACAGCGCCAAUCAAAACGCCUCCGCCAAGCGGAACGAAGGCAUCGCUGGAUGGAUCACUGGUCGUACGAUCGGUCGGUCGGCAUCCAUUUCGAUGGGAGGAUGUUCGCCGGUAACGAGAGAUUCCAGUUGCGGUGCAACAGAGGGAACCAGUUCCGGUAGACGCCAGAGUCUGGACAUCAUCAUCGAUACCGGUGAUCGGGUGAAGGAUGCUUUUACCCAAGGCAUUCAACGGAUCGGACGAACGCUGGAACGACGGAACAGUGAAUCGGAACUCGGCCGGGAUGGUGAUUCCACCGGUGGCAAUGGGUUUCCUGGCAGUGGCGGAGGGAGUAAUGGUACGGGGAGCAAUUCUGGAACGGGGAGUGAUUUUUUUCUCUUCCAACGCUCGUCGGAUUCUGCGCGGGAUGGCCUCUCGGAUGAACAGGUGGAGAACCUUCUUCUAGGCCAGGACUGUACGGACCUAUUUCAGAAUGUCGUCAACUUGUCGAAGUAGGUCAUAGGCGCGGUCACCACGAAUUCUGUCGAGCGGCGGUAUCUGGUUUUCUGUGAUUUUAAUGAGAGCGGGGCCAUCAAGGAAGAGGCAUGGCUGGCAAUCAGCUAGAAACUAUACACUUAUUAAGCAAUUAUUCACGGUAGAAAAGUAGUGUUCCAAAAAUUUGUAGACUUAGAAACCAUACCCAAUGCGGACAAUGUUUUUUGGAUGACGGAUUAUAGGGGGAGUAUAAACAUUGAGAGAACGAUCGAUGGGGUGAUGACAUCGCACCUAGCCAAUGGGUUCAAUCGGUUUUCCCUACGCAAUUCUAGUGCCAUUUGUGAUGACUUAAUAAUCCAAAACAAACCAUAUCAACAUACUCGAAAGGAGUAUGAUAGAUUUUCAAAAAAAAAGAACGGUGAAACGUAUUUUUAAUGUAACUUCUGGGAAGUUGGAACCAAUAGAUGAACUUCAGAUGUACUAACAAUUGGAAAGCAGUUUUAGCCUACUAUUAGGUGAUUUUUUAAGAGCUUGAGAACUUUUUUAAACAAUGAAACGCAUAAAAUUUGCAAAAUCUCAUCGGUUCUUUAUUUUAAACGUUAGAUUGGUACAUGACAUUUACUUUUUGAAGAUAAUUUCAUUUAAAUGUUGACCGCGGCUGCGUCUUAGGUGGUCCAUUCGGAAAGUCCAAUUUUGGGCAACUUUUUCGAGCAUUUCGGCCGGAAUAGCCCGAAUUUCUUCGGAAAUGUUGUCUUCCAAAGCUGGAAUAGUUACUGGCUUAUUUCUGUAGACUUUAGACUUGACGUAGCCCCACAAAAAAUAGUCUAAAGGCGUCAAAUCGCAUGAUCUUGGUGGCCAACUUACCGGUCCAUUUCUUGAGAUGAAUUGUUCUCCGAAGUUUUCCCUCAAAAUGGC